AACGAACGCUGGCGGCAUGCCUAACACAUGCAAGUCGAACGAGACCUUCGGGUCUAUUGGCGCACGGGUUCGUAACGCGUGGGAACCUGCCCUUAUGUUCGGAAUAACUUCCCGAAAGGGGUGCUAAUACCGGAUAAUGUCUUCGGACCAAUGAUUUAUCGCCUUUGGUUGGGCCCGCGUUGGAUUAGCUAGUUGGUAGGGUAAAAGCCUACUAAGGCGACGAUCCAUAGCUGGGCUGAGAGGAUGAUCAGCCACACUGGGACUGAGACACGGCCCAGACUGCUACGGAAGGGAGCAGUGGGGAGUAUUGGACGAUGGGCGAAAGCCUGAUCCAGCAGUGCGGCGUGAGUGAUGAAGGCCGUAGGGUUGUAAAGCUCUUUUACAAGAGAUGAUAAUGACAGUACGGGGAGAAUAAGCGCCGGCUAACUACGUG
This 433-nucleotide ribosomal RNA is filed under the name uncultured bacterium. Its description in RNAcentral is "partial 16S ribosomal RNA". It matches the Rfam family "Bacterial small subunit ribosomal RNA", at positions 29 to 507 of the family's 1533-position model. The record is from RNAcentral.